AAUCAGUUGAAAACCUGAGUCGAACAAAAAGAUUGACUCUCCCAUUAGUAACAGAAUUCUCCAGCUAACUGCCUUCAGACUUCAUCUGCAGCAUCAACUCUUCCAGCCUGAUGACCUUUGAGCUGAACCUUUGCUCUCCCUGGAUCUCCCACUCCACUGGCCCACCCUGUGAUUUUGAACUUACCAGUCUCCACAAUCGUGUGAGUCAAUUCCUUAAAAUAAAUCUCUCUGUCUCUCUCUUUUAUUGGUUCUGUUUCUCUGGAGAACCCUGGCUAAUACAGUAUGCCUGUGCUUGAUUUCUUCUGGUUAGGAAAGAAAGAAGUAACUCCUUUUGGACAAAGAAGGUCUGCUUACAAAUCAUUGGAAUUCAAAACACAGGACAUGAGCUUUAAUAAUGGCCCAAAGAUCGGCAAGAGGACAGAUGAGGAGCAGACAUGGAAAAGGAUCCCUGAAGGUAAAGAAUUUCAGGUUCAUCUCUGAAUCAAAAGGACGGAUUCUUCAUAGUUCAGGGUGAAGUCAGGUAGGAGGAUGUACACAAAGCAAAACAGGGAAAGUGUCUGCAGGUAGAGAAGGACAGGCACAAAUAAGCAAGUGUGUGUUUUGUAAAAUUUGAAGAUCUUUGGAUGAGCAAACACAGCCCACUGGCACAUGAUGAGAGGCAGGAUUCUUUGUCACUUACAGCUCCAAAUUAGAGGAGGCUGCUGCACAGGCCCAUGCACAGGAUUAUACUAGGGGACAGGCUUACAGCAAGCAGGAGCUACAAAAGGCAGCUUAUGUACAGCAAACAGUAUAGUAGGUUAUAUAUAACCAAACAGGGUAUAUAGGGGUAGUUAGGUUUUUGGGGCUUUCUAGGGAUUGGCUAAUUUGAAUAAUUAAUUACACAGCUCUAGAGCAUGGAGACUAUUGUUUAGUAUCUGGUACAGGAGUGUGAAAGCUCCCUAAAUGGGGGCCUUUGUGAGAUGAUUCUUAACGGCCCCAGAGAGUAGGAACCUGAUAAGAAAAGUGCUUGCUUUUUUUGUUGGGGGAGGGGGAGACUUCUUAGCAAAUCGUCCUAAAAGAGGAAUUGAGAGUUUCUAGCCAUGACUUCAAAAUUGGGUCAAGACAGCCCUUGUGAAAUACUACGUUUUGGAGAAUGUAAGUGCACUGUACUUAGCUUGAGUUAAGGCAUUACUUUAUAAAAUUAGAUUGAGACCAGAUCUUGGGGAGC
Molecule: long non-coding RNA, 1207 nt
Filed under: Macaca mulatta (Rhesus monkey)
Lineage: Eukaryota; Metazoa; Chordata; Mammalia; Primates; Cercopithecidae
Description: lncRNA (ENSMMUG00000051015.1)
Source: RNAcentral